Agrilus planipennis (emerald ash borer) is the source of this 79-nucleotide non-coding RNA. The record is from Rfam. NCBI's taxonomy places the organism in Eukaryota, Metazoa, Arthropoda, Insecta, Coleoptera, Buprestidae.
GGGUUUUUAGUCGGUAGGCGCUCUCUCCGGGAGUGAAUCCGACACUACCUCCCCUAGGGGUGUCUUUAGAAGAUUUCCC